UAGGGAAUAUUGGACAAUGGGGGCAACCCUGAUCCAGCCAUGCCGCGUGAGUGAAGAAGGCCCUCGGGUUGUAAAGCUCUUUUGUCCGGAAAGAAAAGCAUUCGGUGAAUACCCGGAUGUUCUGACGGUACCGGAAGAAUAAGCACCGGCUAACUUCGUGCCAGCAGCCGCGGUAAUACGAAGGGUGCAGGCGUUAAUCGGAAUUACUGGGCGUAAAGCGUGCGCAGGCGGUUCGGAAAGAAAGAUGUGAAAUCCCAGAGCUUAACUUUGGAACUGCAUUUUUAACUACCGGGCUAGAGUGUGUCAGAGGGAGGUGGAAUUCCGCGUGUAGCAGUGAAAUGCGUAGAUAUGCGGAGGAACACCGAUGGCGAAGGCAGCCUCCUGGGAUAACACUGACGCUCAUGCACGAAAGCGUG
RNAcentral lists this ribosomal RNA (416 nucleotides) under uncultured bacterium. Its description in RNAcentral is "bacterial SSU rRNA". It matches the Rfam family "Bacterial small subunit ribosomal RNA", at positions 355 to 763 of the family's 1533-position model. The record is from RNAcentral.